RNAcentral lists this unclassified non-coding RNA (619 nucleotides) under Hevea brasiliensis (rubber tree). Lineage: Eukaryota; Viridiplantae; Streptophyta; Magnoliopsida; Malpighiales; Euphorbiaceae. The record is from RNAcentral.
GGGAUUUUCAGCUCUUAUCAAUAUGCUAAAAUAUUGUUACGAGCUUGGUGUAAAAUAUAUAACAGUUUAUGCAUUCAGCAUUGAUAACUUCAAGCGAAGGCCUGAAGAAGUUGUAUCACUAAUGAAACUGAUGCAGGAAAAAAUUGAUGAAUUAACAAAAGAGGAGAGCAUUGUAAACCGCCUUGGUAUUAGAAUUUACUUUCAAGGAAACCUUAAACUUUUGAGUGACCAUGUCAGGUUAGCCGCCGAGAGGGCUAUGGUAAAGACAUCAGGUAAUUCAAAAGCUAUAUUGUCUAUUUGUGUUGCCUACACAUCAACAGAUGAGAUUGUCCAUGCUGUUCAAGAAUCUUGUGAAGAAAAAUGGGACGAGAUUAGAAAACUAGAUGUAAAUAAUGAUGGAAGCAAUUUAAUUAGACUCGAAGAAAAUGUGAAGGACAAGAAUGAGCACCGGAUUGGUGUGACAAAUGUUGACAGACAUAUGUACAUGUCAGUUUGUCCUGAUCCAGACAUUAUUAUACGGACUUCUGGAGCAACUCGUUUAAGCAAUUUUCUUUUGUGGCAAAGUUCACAUUGUCUUCUUUAUUCUCCUGCUGCACUAUGGCCUGAGAUUGGUUUAAGG